RNAcentral lists this ribosomal RNA (253 nucleotides) under uncultured Rikenellaceae bacterium. RNAcentral's name for it is "partial 16S ribosomal RNA". It matches the Rfam family "Bacterial small subunit ribosomal RNA", at positions 524 to 776 of the family's 1533-position model. Lineage: Bacteria; Pseudomonadati; Bacteroidota; Bacteroidia; Bacteroidales; Rikenellaceae. The record is from RNAcentral.
UACGGAGGAUCCAAGCGUUAUCCGGAUUUAUUGGGUUUAAAGGGUGCGUAGGCGGCAGAUUAAGUUAGAGGUGAAAUUCCGAGGCUCAACCUUGGCACUGCCUCUGAUACUGGUUUGCUAGCGAGUAGAUGCUGUAGGCGGAAUGUGUGGUGUAGCGGUGAAAUGCGUAGAUAUUAGGAGGAACACCAGUGGCGAAGGCGGCUUACUGGACGAUGACUGACGCUGAGGCUCGAAAGCGUGGGGAGCAAACAGG